GCUUAACACAUGCAAGUCGAGCCGUAGCAUUUCAGUUUGCUUGCAAACUGGAGAUGGCGACCGGCGCACGGGUGAGUAACACGUAUCCAACCUGCCGAUAACUCGGGGAUAGCCUUUCGAAAGAAAGAUUAAUACCCGAUGGCAUAAUUAGACCGCAUGGUCUUGUUAUUAAAGAAUUUCGGUUAUCGAUGGGGAUGCGUUCCAUUAGGCAGUUGGUGAGGUAACGGCUCACCAAACCUUCGAUGGAUAGGGGUUCUGAGAGGAAGGUCCCCCACAUUGGAACUGAGACACGGUCCAAACUCCUACGGGAGGCAGCAGUGAGGAAUAUUGGUCAAUGGGCGCAGGCCUGAACCAGCCAAGUAGCGUGAAGGAUGACUGCCCUAUGGGUUGUAAACUUCUUUUAUAUGGGAAUAAAGUUUUCCACGUGUGGAAUUUUGUAUGUACCAUAUGAAUAAGGAUCGGCUAACUCCGUGCCAGCAGCCGCGGUAAUACGGAGGAUCCGAGCGUUAUCCGGAUUUAUUGGGUUUAAAGGGAGCGUAGGUGGACAGUUAAGUCAGUUGUGAAAGUUUGCGGCUCAACCGUAAAAUUGCAGUUGAUACUGGCUGUCUUGAGUACAGUAGAGGUGGGCGGAAUUCGUGGUGUAGCGGUGAAAUGCUUAGAUAUCACGAAGAACUCCGAUUGCGAAGGCAGCUCACUGGACUGCAACUGACACUGAUGCUCGAAAGUGUGGGUAUCAAACAGGAUUAGAUACCCUGGUAGUCCACACAGUAAACGAUGAAUACUCGCUGUUUGCGAUAUACAGUAAGCGGCCAAGCGAAAGCAUUAAGUAUUCCACCUGGGGAGUACGCCGGCAACGGUGAAACUCAAAGGAAUUGACGGGGGCCCGCACAAGCGGAGGAACAUGUGGUUUAAUUCGAUGAUACGCGAGGAACCUUACCCGGGCUUAAAUUGCAUUUGAAUAUAUUGGAAACAGUAUAGCCGUAAGGCAAAUGUGAAGGUGCUGCAUGGUUGUCGUCAGCUCGUGCCGUGAGGUGUCGGCUUAAGUGCCAUAACGAGCGCAACCCUUAUCUUUAGUUACUAACAGGUCAUGCUGAGGACUCUAGAGAGACUGCCGUCGUAAGAUGUGAGGAAGGUGGGGAUGACGUCAAAUCAGCACGGCCCUUACGUCCGGGGCUACACACGUGUUACAAUGGGGGGUACAGAAGGCAGCUACCUGGUGACAGGAUGCUAAUCCCAAAAGCCUCUCUCAGUUCGGAUCGAAGUCUGCAACCCGACUUCGUGAAGCUGGAUUCGCUAGUAAUCGCGCAUCAGCCAUGGCGCGGUGAAUACGUUCCCGGGCCUUGUACACACCGCCCG
Molecule: ribosomal RNA, 1356 nt
Filed under: uncultured bacterium
Lineage: Bacteria
Description: 16S ribosomal RNA
Rfam family: Bacterial small subunit ribosomal RNA
Source: RNAcentral